AAAAAAUUCCUUCUUGACCCCAAAAUAGCAGUCAGAUGUCUCCUUGGAUCAAGCAGCUAUUACCCCACUAAUUAGAAAUGAAAUCCCUGUAUGUUAUGUUUUUGCAAGUAUUUAUCCAAUUGCAGUUUAAACAUCUGUAUAGACAAAACCACCUCUUCAGGCAGAGAAUUCCAUAUCCUUAUUGCUCUUACUGUAAAAAAAAAACCUUUUCUUUGCC
Non-coding RNA from Pelobates cultripes (western spadefoot toad), 217 nucleotides. The record is from the annotation of a GenBank genome assembly. Lineage: Eukaryota; Metazoa; Chordata; Amphibia; Anura; Pelobatidae.